UACGUAGGGGGCUAGCGUUGUCCGGAUUUAUUGGGCGUAAAGAGCGUGUAGGCGGCCAGGUAGGUCUGCUGUGAAAACUCGAGGCUCAACCUCGAGACGUCGGCGGAAACCAUCUGGCUAGAGUCCGGAAGAGGAGAGUGGAAUUCAUGGUGUAGCAGUGAAAUGCGUAGAUAUCAUGAGGAAUACCAGAGGCGAAGGCGGCUACCUGGACAAUUGCUGACGCUCAGGCACGAAAGCGUGGGGAGCAAAAGGG
This 253-nucleotide ribosomal RNA is filed under the name uncultured bacterium. RNAcentral's name for it is "partial 16S ribosomal RNA". It matches the Rfam family "Bacterial small subunit ribosomal RNA", at positions 524 to 776 of the family's 1533-position model. The record is from RNAcentral.